GCAAGUCGAACGCGAACGUUUCCUUCGGGAAACGAGUAGAGUGGCGCACGGGUGAGUAACGCGUAAGUAAUCUACCCUCGCAUUUGGGAUAACCCACCGAAAGGUGUGCUAAUACCGGAUACGUCUAUUUUAAUAGUUGUUUUGUAGAGAAAGGUGGCCUCUGAUUUAAGCUACUGUGCGGGGAGGAGCUUGCGUACCAUUAGCUAGUUGGUAGGGUAAUGGCCUACCAAGGCAAUGAUGGUUAGCGGGUCUGAGAGGAUGAUC
This 264-nucleotide ribosomal RNA is filed under the name uncultured bacterium. RNAcentral describes it as "partial 16S ribosomal RNA". It matches the Rfam family "Bacterial small subunit ribosomal RNA", at positions 57 to 305 of the family's 1533-position model. The record is from RNAcentral.